Molecule: ribosomal RNA, 232 nt
Filed under: uncultured bacterium
Lineage: Bacteria
Description: partial 16S ribosomal RNA
Rfam family: Bacterial small subunit ribosomal RNA
Source: RNAcentral
UGAGCAACCUGCCCUUAGCUUUGGGAUAACCCUCGGAAACGGGGGCUAAUACCGAAUGUUCACUGCCGGGCGCAUGUUUGGUGGUGGAAAGUUUUUCGGCUGGGGAUGGGCUCGCGGCCUAUCAGCUUGUUGGUGGGGUGAUGGCCUACCAAGGCGAUGACGGGUAGCCGCUGAGAGGGCGACCGGCCACACUGGGACUGAGACGACCGGCCCAGACUCCGUACGGGAGGCA